RNAcentral lists this unclassified non-coding RNA (366 nucleotides) under Hevea brasiliensis (rubber tree). The record is from RNAcentral. Lineage: Eukaryota; Viridiplantae; Streptophyta; Magnoliopsida; Malpighiales; Euphorbiaceae.
AUCCACUAUAUGACUGUACAAAUAUAACACCACAAUGCGAAAGCAAAUUUACAAGAGCCUUUAAAGACCCACUCUAUUUGAAAAUUUGUAAGGUCAAGUUUACACCAAAUGUAGAUGAUACUACAAGCCCCGUUAACCUUUUAAAGACCACUUCAUAAUAUCAUACAAUUUAAAAACCAAAAGUGCUUUUAACCAGCAAAUUCUUAGAGUCCAUUACAGGCAUGUAGUCUAGCAUGCUAAAGUAUAAAUGGUCAUGGAAUGAGUUAAUUACAUAAUAUCAUAAGUGGUAUCAGUAGCCAGUACACAAAUAAAAACUAACAGUGCUGUCUGCAGAAAAGAGAUUGACCUUCCAAUGGAGCAUUUUCA